Vicugna pacos (alpaca) is the source of this 634-nucleotide long non-coding RNA. RefSeq lists it as uncharacterized. NCBI's taxonomy places the organism in Eukaryota, Metazoa, Chordata, Mammalia, Artiodactyla, Camelidae. The record is from RefSeq and is a predicted model, not a curated record.
UCGGCCUGGUCUCCACGAGGCGUCGAAAGCUGCAGCGGACGCUCCUCAGGCGAAAACUGUUUGGAUCGCAGUCUUCGGGGUCCAGAGGCCAGAGACCGGGCUGCGGGCAGACGCGGCAGGGCUGCGGGCAGCCUCCCUGCCCGCCCGGCCAUGUGGCGCCCGCUGGUCCUGCUGCUGCUGCUGCUGCUCCCUGCCGCCUCGGUCCCCACCGCCACUGCCGCGCUCAUCCCAGGCGCCCAAAGCCAGAACGGCCCGCAGAGCCGCCUCCGAGGUACCAGAGCUGGAGGAAACAGGGGGCUACAGGCUGCUGAAAAGCAGGCCCCUCACUUUGGCUGCCCUCCUGCAGUAUGAGGUGGCUGCCUUGGUGGUGCCGCCCCGAAGCCUGGGAGGCUGGCCUGCGGCUCCAUGACAAGCGUCCAGGGCUACAGGCCACCUGUAACAGGCUCCCACAGGGGGCCUCCAGGCGGGGGCCCUGGGGCCUCCCUAACCCCAAACAACACACCCCAAGACCCACUUCUUGGCCCUUCCCAGGCUGGGCAGCAGGGGCUGGGGGUGGGCAUCAGAGCCCUGGCAGGGGACAGACAUGUACCCUCACCAGCGCCCACACCCAUCUCCAUUUAGAAAUAAAUUUCUU